UACGUAGGUGGCAAGCGUUGUCCGGAUUUACUGGGCGUAAAGAGCGCGCAGGCGGUCGUUCAAGUCGCGUGUGAAAGCCCCCGGCUCAACUGGGGAGGGUCACGCGAUACUGAUCGACUGGAAGGCAGGAGAGGGUAGUGGAAUUCCCGGUGUAGUGGUGAAAUGCGUAGAUAUCGGGAGGAACAUCAGUGGCGAAAGCGACUUCCUGGACCAAUACUGACGCUCAUGUGCGAAAGCGUGGGGAGCAAACAGG
This 253-nucleotide ribosomal RNA is filed under the name uncultured bacterium. RNAcentral describes it as "partial 16S ribosomal RNA". It matches the Rfam family "Bacterial small subunit ribosomal RNA", at positions 524 to 776 of the family's 1533-position model. The record is from RNAcentral.